Molecule: long non-coding RNA, 319 nt
Filed under: Eucalyptus grandis
Lineage: Eukaryota; Viridiplantae; Streptophyta; Magnoliopsida; Myrtales; Myrtaceae
Description: long non-coding RNA (EGRA_LNC001939)
Source: RNAcentral
UCCUUCGUGCGCAGCUCUAUCAACCGAAGAAGCCCACCGAAAAACCGAGACCGUCCCCACGUGGCCAGCUCCACUUUCGUUUCUUCAAAUCAGUUCACCGAAGGCAGCAUCAAUCGGUCAAUUGACCGCAUACUCCCACGACCAGCUGCACCGAAGAUUUCCACGAAGCUGCCCCUUCGUCCUCAGUCUCCAGCAGCAGCGACCCACUCGUUUCUUCCUUCGGCCCAGUCCAGCAGCUCUUCAGUUGGCAGCCUUUGCUGCUUCUCGCACGGCCCAAAUUGUAGCCCAUUCCCGAAGCAUCAGCCCAGCAAAUUUCAAA